RNAcentral lists this ribosomal RNA (460 nucleotides) under uncultured bacterium. RNAcentral's name for it is "partial 16S ribosomal RNA". It matches the Rfam family "Bacterial small subunit ribosomal RNA", at positions 338 to 795 of the family's 1533-position model. The record is from RNAcentral.
CCUACGGGUGGCAGCAGUGAGGAAUAUUGGUCAAUGGGCGCGAGCCUGAACCAGCCAAGUAGCGUGAAGGAUGACUGCCCUACGGGUUUUAAACUUCUUUUAUAAAGGAAUAAAGUGAGGCACGUGUGCCUUUUUGUAUGUACUUUAUGAAUAAGGAUCGGCUAACCCCGUGCCAGCAGCCGCGGUAAUACGGUGGAUCCGAGCGUGAUCCGGAUUUAUUGGGUUUAAAGGGAGCGUAGAUGGGUGGUUAAGUCAGUUGUGAAAGUUUGCGGCUCAACCGUAAAAUUGCAAUUGAUACUGGCAGGCUUGAGUACAGUUGAGGUAGGCGGAAUUCGUGGUGUAGCGGUGAAAUGCUUAGAGAUCACGAAGAACUCCGAUGGCGAAGGCAGCUUACUAAACUGCGACUGACAUUGAGGCGCGAAAGUGUGGGGAUCAAACAGGAUUAGAUACCCGAGUAGUC